GAUGAACGCUAGCGGCAGGCCUAAUACAUGCAAGUCGAACGGAUAUAUGUUUUUCGGAAUAUAUAUUAGUGGCGCACGGGUGAGUAACACGUACAUAACUUGCCCUCAAGCGGGGGAUUGCCUUGGGAAACUGAGAGUAAUACCCCAUAGAAUUAUUGGACGGCAUCGUUUGAUAAUUAAAACUACGGUGCUUGGGGAUAGAUGUGCGUCUGAUUAGCUAGUUGGUGAGGUAACUGCUCACCAAGGCGACGAUCAGUAGGGGGCGUGAGAGCGUGGCCCCCCCACACGGGUACUGAGACACGGACCCGACUCCUACGGGAGGCAGCAGUAAGGAAUAUUGGUCAAUGGAGGCAACUCUGAACCAGCCAUUCCGCGUGAAGGAUGAAUGCCCUCUGGGUUGUAAACUUCUUUAGUCUGGGAAGAAAAACAUAUAUUCAUAUAUGUCUGACGGUACCAGAAGAAUAAGCACCGGCUAACUCCGUGCCAGCAGCCGCGGUAAAGUAG
This 504-nucleotide ribosomal RNA is filed under the name uncultured bacterium. RNAcentral's name for it is "bacterial SSU rRNA". It matches the Rfam family "Bacterial small subunit ribosomal RNA", at positions 28 to 528 of the family's 1533-position model. The record is from RNAcentral.